Molecule: ribosomal RNA, 523 nt
Filed under: uncultured bacterium
Lineage: Bacteria
Description: bacterial SSU rRNA
Rfam family: Bacterial small subunit ribosomal RNA
Source: RNAcentral
UGGGGAAUAUUGGACAAUGGACCAAGAGUCUGAUCCAGCAAUUCUGUGUGCACGAUGAAGUUUUUCGGAAUGUAAAGUGCUUUCAGUUGGGAAGAAAGAAAUGACGGUACCAACAGAAGAAGUGACGGCUAAAUACGUGCCAGCAGCCGUGGUAAUACGUAUGUCACGAGCGUUAUCCGGAUUUAUUGGGCGUAAAGCGCGUCUAGGUGGUUAUGUAAGUCUGAUGUGAAAAUGCAGGGCUCAACUCUGUAUUGCGUUGGAAACUGUAUAACUAGAGUACUGGAGAGGUAAGCGGAACUACAAGUGUAGAGGUGAAAUUCGUAGAUAUUUGUAGGAAUGCCGAUGGGGAAGCCAGCUUACUGGACAGAUACUGACGCUGAAGCGCGAAAGCGUGGGUAGCAAACAGGAUUAGAUACCCUAGUAGUCCACGCCGUAAACGAUGAUUACUAGGUGUUGGGGGUCGAACCUCAGCGCCCAAGCAAACGCGAUAAGUAAUCCGCCUGGGGAGUACGUACGCAAGUAU